GUAGCUCAGUGGUAGAGCAUCCGCUCUGCAUACAGAAGGCCGCAGGUUCAAUCCCUGGCAUCUCCG
Podarcis lilfordi (Lilford's wall lizard) is the source of this 66-nucleotide non-coding RNA. NCBI's taxonomy places the organism in Eukaryota, Metazoa, Chordata, Lepidosauria, Squamata, Lacertidae. The record is from the annotation of a GenBank genome assembly.